This 1523-nucleotide long non-coding RNA is filed under the name Homo sapiens (human). RNAcentral describes it as "HSALNT0386653". Lineage: Eukaryota; Metazoa; Chordata; Mammalia; Primates; Hominidae. The record is from RNAcentral.
UUGAGGCCGGCCGCUUGGUGGCGCCUGUGGCCGCAGGGAUUUGACUGGGCCUUCUCUAGCUUUCCCCGGUUUGCUGCACUUGACGCUGCAGGGCGGGCGGGGUAAAGAAGGGAGCGAGCCCUUCUCAAGCUUGGAAAGUUUCCAGACUGCUGGGCCAGCCUCCUCCCCAGAGGGAAACUGAGGUCCGAUUGAGGUUUCUCCAAGACCGCCCACUCCUGCUCCUGUCCCCAAACCCCUUUCUGCCUAGGGUUCCUGGAAGCCAAGGAAACAGAACGAACUGUUCCCUGGGUGGGCGAGCCACUGCAGAGUACAAAGCUUUCAGGCCGCCUGCCUCAUUAGCACUAAUGGCUGCUCCCUUCCGCCCUGUGUCGUCAGGACUGUCUAUGCCUGGUCUCAUCAGCACAAGGCUGGGCCAGAGGGAGCCCUGAAUUCAUGCAGAGGAGUUUUUCUACCUUCCAUCUGCUUCUGCAUAUCAUCUUGUCUACUUAAUGCCCCUCCUUCCGGAUUUAUAGAACAGUAUGCAUAAUAUGACCCCAACUGCAUUCCAAAAAAUAGAUGUAGAUGUAAGCUUAGAGAUGCAAAGAAACUUUUUGAGAGAAUUCACUAUGCUUCUCGCGGGUGGUGACACAGUUCAAGGAGGUUCCAUGGGGUGUAAUGUUUAUCUUUCUCUUUUGUCCUUCUGAUCAUUGAAAUGAUGCUUUGUGUGUGUGAACAUGUAUUACUUUUAUAAUUAAAAUAGAAAAAUUAAUUUGAAUGGGACAAAUGCUCGAAGUCAAAGUCACCUGUUAUAACUGCUGUCACUAACAGGGCAACUGUUUGAAAAUGCUGCAGAAACAUGAGAAAUGUUCAUGAAGUGACCCUGUGGAGGCUUCCGGUCACAGGAUCAUGUGAGCGCCACGAUCACCCCAGGGGUGGAGCAGAUGCUAAGUGUUCACCACACCCAAUUCUCUUCCUGGACACACAGGAAGAUGACAUUUCCAGUGACAUGCCCCACCUCUAGGCCCUAGUCUUUUUUUUAUUUAAAGGUCUGAGUCUUGUUCUGUCACCCAGGCUGGAGUGCAGUGCUGUGAUCAUGACUCACUGCAGCCUCAACCUCCUGUGCUCAAACAAUCCUCCCACCUCAGCCUCCCUAAUAGCUGAUGUCAUAUAGGCAUGAGCCAGUGUGCCUGGCUCAGGCCCUACCCUUAAAAGCAUCCCACCUGAUUCACCAGCCCCCUUCUCUCUCUCAGUAAACUUGGAAACCACGCAUUCCAGAUGGUAUAAUUUACAGCAUGAUGGAAAAAGCCAGCUCUCCAUGGGAAGCUGGCCAGUCUUCAUUGGAGUACAUUUUUAUUGCAUGAAGCCAAUGAGACUUGAUAUUGUUUAACUCUGUGGUUUCCAAAGUGCGGUCCUUUUGAAGUAUCCAUAAAGUCUACACUAGGUUCACGGUAAUAUUAAGAUGUUAUUUGUCAGCUGGGCACGGUGGCUCACGCCUAUAAUCUCAGCACUUUGGGAGGCCAAGGCAAAUGGAUAAUGAGGUCAGG